This 163-nucleotide long non-coding RNA is filed under the name Coturnix japonica (Japanese quail). RNAcentral's name for it is "lncRNA (ENSCJPG00005005713.1)". Lineage: Eukaryota; Metazoa; Chordata; Aves; Galliformes; Phasianidae. The record is from RNAcentral.
GCUUAGGACUUUGCUACUCUGAUCUCAUUGCUGUGUUACCUGGUUACAAGAUAUUUGUUAAUUAAAAAGGCUCCCAGCUGUUACUGUGUGUAGUGACAGUGCAAGUCAUGGCCUGUGAUUGAGCACCUGGUGGAAGGCAAAGCAACCCAGUGGAGCUCAGAUA